This 257-nucleotide ribosomal RNA is filed under the name Acinetobacter baumannii. RNAcentral describes it as "partial 16S ribosomal RNA". It matches the Rfam family "Bacterial small subunit ribosomal RNA", at positions 1 to 261 of the family's 1533-position model. The record is from RNAcentral. Lineage: Bacteria; Pseudomonadati; Pseudomonadota; Gammaproteobacteria; Moraxellales; Moraxellaceae.
AACUGAAGAGUUUGAUCAUGGCUCAGAUUGAACGCUGGCGGCAGGCUUAACACAUGCAAGUCGAGCGGGGGAAGGUAGCUUGCUACCGGACCUAGCGGCGGACGGGUGAGUAAUGCUUAGGAAUCUGCCUAUUAGUGGGGGACAACAUCUCGAAAGGGAUGCUAAUACCGCAUACGUCCUACGGGAGAAAGCAGGGGAUCUUUGGACCUUGCGCUAAUAGAUGAGCCUAAGUCGGAUUAGCUAGUUGGUGGGGUAAA